AUGUCGACCGCAGGUAUGAAGAAAGUGACAUGCCCUAUCUUUGACGGUCAUGAUUAUUCCAAGUGGAAGGCCAUGAUGAGGAAGCGCCUCAUGGCAAGGGACAGCAAGCUGUGGACCGUCACUGAGAUUGGUCUUACAGAUCUAUGCAAGUUGGCGAAUGCAGAUGAUAUUCGCAAAUACACUCGACUUGACUGCAUGGCGAAGGAUAUCAUCUGUUCCUGCCUAUCCAGAGAUCAAUUCAGGCACAUUAUGCAUCUUUGCAAUGCAAAGCUUAUCUGGGACCGAAUCUCUGACGUUUAUGAAGGUCAUCGAACCCGUCAUGAUCCCUGGUUUGAGGACUUCAAGGAAUCUCUCAAAACAAUGACUUUCGAGCCAGAAUCAUCAUCGUCUGCAUCAUGUCUCAUGGCAAAGGGUGACGAGGUAACCGAAUGUUCCUCAUCUGAAUUUAGUGACUGUGAAUCUGAUGAUAAUGAAUCUGAUGAUGAUAUUGAACCUAGCUAUACCAAACUUGUUUGCAUUGCCACCAAACAACAACAUGCCUUGGAAAAGGUUCAAAACAUGCUAGACAAAAGUGAUGAUAUGUUGGGUGAAGAAAUGGAUCGCACUAAAGCCCUGACUGAAAAUCUUCAGAGACUUCAGUCUAGGUUUGAUAACCUUCAAAUUCAUCAUAACACUCUCUUAUCUGAUCAUGAGAAACUUUCUUAUGAAUUUCUUCAAAGAAACCAAGAUCUUGAGAAGCUAAGAGUGAGUUAUGAAGAUCUUCAGAAGGAGCGUGAUUCAUUACUUGCUCAACAAAUCAGCACUUCUCAGGAAGAAUUUAUUCCUCCAUGCUUAAAGUGCAUUGAACGUGAAUCUGCUAAUUCUUCACCUGAAUGUUCAAAUGCUUCAACUGUUACAAAUUCUUCAUCUGCCUCUGCUAUCACUAAUUCCUCAUCUGAGGACAUUGCUAGUAUCACUGACAAUGCAGGGCUGAAGGAACUGUACACGACAGGCAUGUACAAAAGCCUCAAAGGGAAUCAGAUUCUCUAUGAUGUGCUCAAAAAGCAGAUCCUCAACAGAAACCCUAGGAAAGAGGGUAUUACCUUUGAGAGGAAACUUAAUGCUGAUGGAACAUAUUGGAAGCCUGAGCAGUACCCCAAAACCUCAUGGGUUGCUGCAAAGGGACCUCCAGUUGAUCCAUCCAAUUUAUCUGGCUUUACAUGUGAAUCUCCUCAUUCUUCUGAUAAGUCAUUUGACUCCAACUAUAAACUGUUCAAAAAUCAGAAUGGUGAAGUAUUUGCUAGAUAUGUUGGGACUAACUGCAGGAACGGUUCCCCUAUGAAGAAAAUCUGGGUUCCCAAAAGUUAUGUUGAAAGUCUUCAGGUGAAUGUCCUCAUGACACCACCUGUGAAGAAUAGGAACCCCAGAACAAACUCUUCAUAUGGACCUAAUUCUUCAUAUGGAUCAAAUUCCUCAAAUGGAUCAAAGUCCUCACAUGAUUAUCAUCGUGCUAACAACUCUGUUUCGCAGGGUAUAGCUAAGGACUAUGAAUAUGCGCAUUAUUCUUCAAAUCAUUAUGUUCAUAAGUCCUCGAAGAAUUUCUCUGCUUAUUCAUAUGCUUACCCUAACCCCUCUUAUAUGAAAUGA
This 1626-nucleotide ribosomal RNA is filed under the name Triticum aestivum (bread wheat). RNAcentral's name for it is "partial small subunit ribosomal RNA". The record is from RNAcentral. Lineage: Eukaryota; Viridiplantae; Streptophyta; Magnoliopsida; Poales; Poaceae.